RNAcentral lists this ribosomal RNA (2882 nucleotides) under Bryobacter aggregatus MPL3. Its description in RNAcentral is "bacterial LSU rRNA". It matches the Rfam family "Bacterial large subunit ribosomal RNA". Lineage: Bacteria; Pseudomonadati; Acidobacteriota; Terriglobia; Bryobacterales; Bryobacteraceae. The record is from RNAcentral.
UAAGGGCGUGCGUGUGGAUGCCUUGGCUCAAGCAGGCGAUGAAGGACGUGGCCAACUGCGAUAAGCCUCGGGGAGAAGUAAGCAUUCUAUGAUCCGGGGAUUUCCGAAUGGGGGAACCCAACCAGUGCGAACACUGGUUAUUGUGCAGUGAAUACAUAGCUGCAUAAAGCGAACGUGGGGAAGUGAACCAUCUUAGUACCCAUAGGAAGAUAAAACAACAGUGAUUCCGCUAGUAGCGGCGAGCGAACGCGGAGGAGUCUAAACCGGUCAAUCUUCGGAGAGACCGGGGUUGCAGGGCCUCAAUAUCAAGAAUCUGGUUGCGGUGGGCGAAAGCCUGUCGUGAGCAGUUUCUUGGUAAAUGAAUGAUAAGAAAGUAAUAACUGAACGGUCUUGAAAGGCCGGCCAUAGAGGGUGACAGCCCCGUAUGUAAAAUUGCAAUCUUCGUUCUAGAGGUUCCUAAGUAGCGCGAGGCACGAGAAACCUUGCGUGAAUCCGCCGGGACCAUCCGGCAAGACUAAAUACUCGCUUGAGACCGAUAGUGAACCAGUACCGUGAGGGAAAGGCGAAAAGAACCCCUGCGAGGGGAGUGAAAUAGUACCUGAAACCGCAUGCCUACAAGCAGUUGGAGGACAUUAAAGUCUGACAUCGUGCCUAUUGAAUAAUGAGCUGGCUAGUUAGUCUCAGUGGCAAGGUUAAGCGUAAGCGAGCCGAAGCGAAAGCGAGUCUGAAUAGGGCGCAGAGUCGCUGGGAUUAGACGCGAAGCGGGAUGAUCUACCCUUGGCCAGGAUGAAGGCCGUGUAACAACGGCUGGAGGUCCGAACCAGUGUUGGUUGAAAACAGCUUGGAUGAGCUGAGGGUAGGGGUGAAAGGCUAAUCAAAUUCCGUGAUAGCUCGUUCUCUCCGAAAUAGCUUUAGGGCUAGCCUCGAUUGUACCGUCACGGCGGUAGAGAUAUGGAUGGACUAGGGGCCUUUCCAGGUUACCGAAUCCAAUCAAACUUCGAAUUCCGUGAAUGAAUUCAUCGGGAGUCAGACGGCGCGGGCUAAGCUGCGUCGUCAAAAGGGGAAGAGCCCAGACCAUCGACUAAGGCCCCCAAAUUCCAGCUAAGUGGGAAAGGAAGUCGGGUUGCAGUGACAGCCAGGAGGUUGGCUUAGAAGCAGCCAUCCUUUAAAGAAAGCGUAAUAGCUCACUGGUCGAGCGACCCGGUGCCGACAAUCCAACGGGGCUAAAGCUGGAUGCCGAAGUCAUGGGUGCACAGUAAUGUGCGCGGUAGGAGAGCGUUCUUAGCGCAGCGAAGGUGGACCGUGAGGACCGCUGGAGUGCUAGGAAGUGACUCUGCCAGCAUAAGUAGCGAAAAACAAGGUGAGAACCCUUGUCGCCGUAAGUCUAAGGUUUCCUGAGAAAGGUUAAUCCGCUCAGGGUUAGUCGGAGCCUAAGGUGAGGCCGAAAGGCGUAGCUGAUGGACAACUGGUUAAUAUUCCAGUACUUCUUUUAGUUUCGAUGCGGGGACGCUGGAUGAAGCUCUGUGAGGCAAUGGUUUCCAAAACAGGGUGGAUUCAGAGGGGGAUAGGCAAAUCCGCCCCUUCGUCAGCCGGGAAAAUCCGCUAAGGCUAGGCUAAAAGAAUCCGUACCACAAACCGACACAGGUGGACGUGUUGAAUAUACUCAGGCGCUCGGGUGAUGGAUUGUUCAGGAACUAGGCAAAUUAACCCCGUAACUUCGGGAGAAGGGGUGCCCACAGCAAUGUGGGCCGCAGUGAAACGCGUCAGGCGACUGUUUAACAAAAACACAGGUCUCUGCAAAGUCUAAAACGACGUAUAGGGGCUGACGCCUGCCCGGUGCUGGAAGGUUAAAAGGAGCGGUUAGCGCAAGCGAAGCUGUGAAUUGAAGCCCCAGUGAACGGCGGCCGUAACUAUAACGGUCCUAAGGUAGCGAAAUUCCUUGUCGGGUAAGUUCCGACCUGCACGAAUGGCGUAACGAUCUGACGACUGUCGUAACAAUCCGCCCGGCGAACUUGUGGUUCCGGUGAAGACGCCGGAUGCCCGCCACUAGACGGAAAGACCCCGUGCACCUUUACUAUAACCUAACAAUGAUUUAUGGCACAUGCUGCGCAGGAUAGGUGGGAGGCUUUGAACUCGGAUUCUUGGAUUCGAGGGAGCCAAUGGUGAGAUACCACCCUGCAUCUGCUGUGAAUCUAACCUACUACCCUCAUCGGGUUGAGGGACAUUGUUAGGCGGGUAGUUUGACUGGGGCGGUCGCCUCCUAAAUUGUAACGGAGGCGUUCGAAGCUUAGUUCAGGUGGUUUGGAAAUCCACCGACGAGUGCAUUGGCAUAAACUAGGUUGACUGCGAGACAUACAAGUCAAGCAGGAGCGAAAGCUGGACAAAGUGAUCCGGUGGUUCUGCAUGGAAGGGCCAUCGCUCAACGGAUAAAAGGUACGCCGGGGAUAACAGGCUGAUCGGAGUCAAGAGUUCACAUCGACGCUCCGGUUUGGCACCUCGAUGUCGGUUCAUCGCAUCCCGGGGGUGUAGAAGCUCCCAAGGGUUAGGCUGUUCGCCUAUUAAAGCGGUACGUGAACUGGGUUCAGAACGUCGCGAGACAGUUCGGUCCCUAUCUGUGGUGGGCGUAGGAAAUUUGAGGGGGCUUGUCCCUAGUACGAGAGGACCGGGAUGAACUAACCUCUUGUGAUACGGUUGUUCCGCCAGGAGCAUAGCCGUGUAGCGAAGUUAGGUCAGGAUAAGCGCUGAAUGCAUAUAAGCGCGAAACCUUCCCCAAGAUGAGAUUUCCCUGAAGGGCCCAAGAAGACGACUUGGUUGAUAGGACGGAUGUGGAAGCGUAGUAAUACGUUGAGCUAACCGUUACUAAUAGCCCGUUCGGCUUGGCC